AACCUACGGGGCGCAUCAGUAUUUACUCUUCCACACUUUCCUCAAGUCUGAUGGAGCAACGCCGCGUGAGUGAAGAAGGGUUUCGGCUCGUAAAGCUCUGUUGGUAGUGAAGAAAGAUAGAGGUAGUAACUGGCCUUUAUUUGACGGUAAUUACUUAGAAAGUCACGGCUAACUACGUGCCAGCAGCCGCGGUAAUACGUAGGUGGCAAGCGUUGUCCGGAUUUAUUGGGCGUAAAGCGAGUGCAGGCGGUUCAAAAAGACUGGUGUGAAAGCCUUCGGGGCAACCGGAGAACUGCGUCAGAAAA
This 305-nucleotide ribosomal RNA is filed under the name uncultured bacterium. RNAcentral's name for it is "bacterial SSU rRNA". It matches the Rfam family "Bacterial small subunit ribosomal RNA", at positions 335 to 633 of the family's 1533-position model. The record is from RNAcentral.